This 309-nucleotide ribosomal RNA is filed under the name uncultured bacterium. RNAcentral describes it as "partial 16S ribosomal RNA". It matches the Rfam family "Bacterial small subunit ribosomal RNA", at positions 504 to 807 of the family's 1533-position model. The record is from RNAcentral.
AGAGACAGCAGUAGCCGCGGUAAUACAGAGGGUGCGAGCGUUAAUCGGAUUUACUGGGCGUAAAGCGUGCGUAGGCGGCUUCUUAAGUCGGAUGUGAAAUCCCUGAGCUUAACUUAGGAAUUGCAUUCGAUACUGGGAAGCUAGAGUAUGGGAGAGGAUGGUAGAAUUCCAGGUGUAGCGGUGAAAUGCGUAGAGAUCUGGAGGAAUACCGAUGGCGAAGGCAGCCAUCUGGCCUAAUACUGACGCUGAGGUACGAAAGCAUGGGGAGCAAACAGGAUUAGAGACCCCUGUAGUCCCUGUCUCUUAUAC